AUUGAACGCUGGCGGCAUGCUUUACACGUGCAAGUCGAACGGCAGCGCGGGCUUCGGCCUGGCGGCGAGUGGCGAACGGGUGAGUAAUACAUCGGAACGUGCCCGGUAGUGGGGGAUAGCUCGGCGAAAGCCGGAUUAAUACCGCAUACGACCUGAGGGUGAAAGCGGGGGAUCUUCGGACCUCGCGCUAUUGGAGCGGCCGAUGGCAGAUUAGCUAGUUGGUGGGGUAAAGGCCUACCAAGGCGACGAUCUGUAGCUGGUCUGAGAGGACGACCAGCCACACUGGGACUGAGACACGGCCCAGACUCCUACGGGAGGCAGCAGUGGGGAAUUUUGGACAAUGGGCGAAAGCCUGAUCCAGCAAUGCCGCGUGUGUGAUGAAGGCCUUCGGGUUGUAAAGCACUUUUGGCGGGAACGAAAAGGACUGUGCCAAUACCACGGUUCGAUGACGGUACCCGCAGAAUAAGCACCGGCUAACUACGUG
Molecule: ribosomal RNA, 484 nt
Filed under: uncultured bacterium
Lineage: Bacteria
Description: partial 16S ribosomal RNA
Rfam family: Bacterial small subunit ribosomal RNA
Source: RNAcentral